This 71-nucleotide transfer RNA is filed under the name Trichobilharzia regenti. RNAcentral describes it as "tRNA-Asp". The record is from RNAcentral. Lineage: Eukaryota; Metazoa; Platyhelminthes; Trematoda; Strigeidida; Schistosomatidae.
ACACACUUAGUUUAAUUUUAAAAAAUGGAAGUUUGUCGUACUUCGGAUGUUCUUUUACAUGACAGUGUGUU